GCGCUGCUGAAGAGUCUCACAAUAAGACGAAACGCUCGUCCAGUGC
Molecule: non-coding RNA, 46 nt
Organism: Schistosoma rodhaini
Lineage: Eukaryota; Metazoa; Platyhelminthes; Trematoda; Strigeidida; Schistosomatidae
Source: Rfam